GCCUGAUCCAGCCAUGCCGCGUGCAGGAUGACGGUCCUAUGGAUUGUAAACUGCUUUUGUACGAGAAGAAACACUCCAACGUGUUGGAGCUUGACGGUAUCGUAAGAAUAAGGAUCGGCUAACUCCGUGCCAGCAGCCGCGGUAAUACGGAGGAUCCAAGCGUUAUCCGGAAUCAUUGGGUUUAAAGGGUCCGUAGGCGGUUUAGUAAGUCAGUGGUGAAAGCCCAUCGCUCAACGGUGGAACGGCCAUUGAUACUGCUAAACUUGAAUUAUUAGGAAGUAACUAGAAUAUGUAGUGUAGCGGUGAAAUGCUUAAAGAUUACAUGGAAUACCAAUUGCGAAGGCAGGUUACUACUAAUGGAUUGACGCUGAUGGACGAAAGCGUGGGUAGCGAACAGGAUUAGAUACCCUGGUAGUCCACGCCGUAAACGAUGGAUACUAGCUGUUGGGAGCAAUCUCAGUGGCUAAGCGAAAGUGAUAAGUAUCCCACCUGGGGAGUACGUUCGCAAGAAUGAAACUCAAAGGAAUUGACGGGGGCCCGCACAAGCGGUGGAGCAUGUGGUUUAAUUCGAUGAUACGCGAGGAACCUUACCAAGGCUUAAAUGUAGUUUGACCGAUUUGGAAACAGAUCUUUCG
This 635-nucleotide ribosomal RNA is filed under the name Flavobacterium sp. Ri2Pw_5854. RNAcentral's name for it is "bacterial SSU rRNA". It matches the Rfam family "Bacterial small subunit ribosomal RNA", at positions 381 to 1017 of the family's 1533-position model. Lineage: Bacteria; Pseudomonadati; Bacteroidota; Flavobacteriia; Flavobacteriales; Flavobacteriaceae. The record is from RNAcentral.